CAGCAGCCACGGUAAUACGUAGGGUGCAAGCGUUAAUCGGAAUUACUGGGCGUAAAGCGUGCGCAGGCGGUUCGUUAAGACAGAUGUGAAAUCCCCGGGCUUAACCUGGGAACUGCAUUUGUGACUGGCGGGCUAGAGUAUGGCAGAGGGGGGUAGAAUUCCACGUGUAGCAGUGCAAUGCGUAGAGAUGUGGAGGAAUACCGAUGGCGAAGGCAGCCCCCUGGGCCAAUACUGACGCUCAUGCACGAAAGCGUGGGGAGCAAACAGGAUUAGAUACCCGCGUAGUCCCUGUCUCUUAUAC
Molecule: ribosomal RNA, 301 nt
Filed under: uncultured bacterium
Lineage: Bacteria
Description: partial 16S ribosomal RNA
Rfam family: Bacterial small subunit ribosomal RNA
Source: RNAcentral